This 1174-nucleotide ribosomal RNA is filed under the name Escherichia coli. RNAcentral describes it as "partial 23S ribosomal RNA". It matches the Rfam family "Bacterial large subunit ribosomal RNA", at positions 612 to 1781 of the family's 2925-position model. Lineage: Bacteria; Pseudomonadati; Pseudomonadota; Gammaproteobacteria; Enterobacterales; Enterobacteriaceae. The record is from RNAcentral.
AUAAUGGGUCAGCGACUUAUAUUCUGUAGCAAGGUUAACCGAAUAGGGGAGCCGAAGGGAAACCGAGUCUUAACUGGGCGUUAAGUUGCAGGGUAUAGACCCGAAACCCGGUGAUCUAGCCAUGGGCAGGUUGAAGGUUGGGUAACACUAACUGGAGGACCGAACCGACUAAUGUUGAAAAAUUAGCGGAUGACUUGUGGCUGGGGGUGAAAGGCCAAUCAAACCGGGAGAUAGCUGGUUCUCCCCGAAAGCUAUUUAGGUAGCGCCUCGUGAAUUCAUCUCCGGGGGUAGAGCACUGUUUCGGCAAGGGGGUCAUCCCGACUUACCAACCCGAUGCAAACUGCGAAUACCGGAGAAUGUUAUCACGGGAGACACACGGCGGGUGCUAACGUCCGUCGUGAAGAGGGAAACAACCCAGACCGCCAGCUAAGGUCCCAAAGUCAUGGUUAAGUGGGAAACGAUGUGGGAAGGCCCAGACAGCCAGGAUGUUGGCUUAGAAGCAGCCAUCAUUUAAAGAAAGCGUAAUAGCUCACUGGUCGAGUCGGCCUGCGCGGAAGAUGUAACGGGGCUAAACCAUGCACCGAAGCUGCGGCAGCGACGCUGAUGCGUUGUUGGGUAGGGGAGCGUUCUGUAAGCCUGUGAAGGUGUGCUGUGAGGCAUGCUGGAGGUAUCAGAAGUGCGAAUGCUGACAUAAGUAACGAUAAAGCGGGUGAAAAGCCCGCUCGCCGGAAGACCAAGGGUUCCUGUCCAACGUUAAUCGGGGCAGGGUGAGUCGACCCCUAAGGCGAGGCCGAAAGGCGUAGUCGAUGGGAAACAGGUUAAUAUUCCUGUACUUGGUGUUACUGCGAAGGGGGGACGGAGAAGGCUAUGUUGGCCGGGCGACGGUUGUCCCGGUUUAAGCGUGUAGGCUGGUUUUCCAGGCAAAUCCGGAAAAUCAAGGCUGAGGCGUGAUGACGAGGCACUACGGUGCUGAAGCAACAAAUGCCCUGCUUCCAGGAAAAGCCUCUAAGCAUCAGGUAACAUCAAAUCGUACCCCAAACCGACACAGGUGGUCAGGUAGAGAAUACCAAGGCGCUUGAGAGAACUCGGGUGAAGGAACUAGGCAAAAUGGUGCCGUAACUUCGGGAGAAGGCACGCUGAUAUGUAGGUGAAGUCCCUCGCGGAUGGAGCUGAA